Molecule: unclassified non-coding RNA, 211 nt
Filed under: plant metagenome
Description: partial contains small subunit ribosomal RNA, internal transcribed spacer 1, and 5.8S ribosomal RNA
Source: RNAcentral
AUUCCGUAGGUGAACCUGCGGAAGGAUCAUUCAUAAUAAAGUGUUUUAUGGCACUUUUUAAAAAUCCAUAUCCACCUUGUGUGCAAUGUUAGAUCUCGUCAAUCUUGGCGAGAUUUUUAUACAUCAACUCAUUUUUUAACUAAUUUGUCUGAAAAAUAUUAUGAAUACUUAAUUCAAAAUACAACUUUCAACAACGGAUCUCUUGGCUCUC